GGAACAUAUCCAAAAGUUUGGAAAUACAAAAGAAAAUACACUUUGGUCUGAAGUGAAAGGGUCUCAGGAAAGACAGAACAGCCUCCAUUUAAAUCAGAGCCUAGUACUUGGAGAGAGCUAAUCCCAGAAGGCAGAUUGAUGUUGACACUUGGUGUUUUGUUCUGCUCUCCAGCAACUCUGAAGAAAGAGAAACAGUUUGAAUUUGCUGAAACCUUUCUGCAGCCCUUGAAUUGUGGAGCAAUUACCCUGACAGUUGUUUGCGUAGGAACAAGCACGGUGACAGCACAGCAAGCCUGUGAAACAAGCCCAGCACAGGACUCAGGGUGUUCUGCCAAAGGUCAUAGCCCGAGCGUUCAGAAAUGUCAAGUAGGACAUGGCAGUCCCUUGAUUCCAAGCAGCUCCAUGCUUGGUCCACACCCUUCUCAGGGGUCCCGCUGCCUGAUGAAGUGA
Molecule: long non-coding RNA, 450 nt
Filed under: Anser cygnoides (Swan goose)
Lineage: Eukaryota; Metazoa; Chordata; Aves; Anseriformes; Anatidae
Description: lncRNA (ENSACDG00005010671.1)
Source: RNAcentral